Molecule: long non-coding RNA, 1670 nt
Organism: Zalophus californianus (California sea lion)
Lineage: Eukaryota; Metazoa; Chordata; Mammalia; Carnivora; Otariidae
Exons: 4
Source: RefSeq, a predicted model, not a curated record
GGGAACAGGCCCACAGAGACGCUGGCAAGAGCUGUUGCAGGGAGGGCAGUGGAGGGGGAAAAGCUUCUUCCUAACAGCUCGGUCAGAAACCUACCUGCAGUGGAAUGGAGAGAAGCGAGGCUCUUUGGGGCCAGCCUCCGGCGCUUGGACACCUUGGAUCAGGUUGACAAACCUCAGGGGCCCAGUAAGAGCCCCCUGGCACCGACAUUCCCAUGGUUCAUCGACUAACAUCUAGAAGAAAACAAGUCCUGCUCCCUGUCUUUGUCCAAAGAGGACAAAACCUCCUGACAAGGAAGCAAGGCCUGGCUGAGGCUAACAGAGCAGAUUCUGUUUCCCACUUGGAGGGGAGGCGGCUGGCCACUCGAGGCUGCUGGCGUCUCCUGUGUGUCGGCGCUGUGCUGGCCCCUUUGUCUGGAUGCUUUCACCUUUGCAAAGGGCCAGUGCCAGGCCAGACCUUUGCUCCUUGGUGCUGCUUCCCUCACCACCUGCAAGCCUGCUCUUCGCCUUGGGACCCAUUAGCAUUUUUAAGUGGCAAAGUCAGGCAUCGUUAUGACAAAGGAGUACAGAGUCAGCAGAGACAUGGCCACCAAAAGCAGAGAAAAUGACAUGAGGUCUGCUGCCCACCUCUUAAGAAAGCACGUGAACCUGCUCUAUGCCACACACAGCUGGCUCAUGAGUGCAGACUAAUAUCAGGAGGCCUGAGUUUAAAUUCCAGCCCUGCUAUGAAUUACGGGACUUUGGGAGAGGGGCGUGUACAGUUAAGAUUGUGAAGUCAGACAGACCUUGUUCAAAUACUGGCUUCAGGACUUGCUAGCCAAGUGACCUUAGGCAAAUUACUUCAUCUUUCUGGGUCUCAGUUUCCUCAUCUGUAAAAUGGGGAUAUUCCAAGUAGUCUUCCCAGAGGGUGACUGCGAGUGAGAGAAAGCGGAGGCGGAGGCGGAGCUGUUGUCUGUCAGCUCUCAAUAAACACCAGCUGGUGACAGUGGUAGUGAGAGGAACAAUGGUAUUUCCCUCUCCGGGCCUCAGCUUCACAUUCUACAAGAAGAGAGUGGAACUAAAGGAUUUCUAAGGCCACGUCCGUCACUGAAUGGAAGUGAUUCAAAGAGAUAUAAGCUCUCCAGCUUAAACCCUUCAGACUUCCCAUUACCCAUGGAAUGAAGUUGAAGCUCCUCGGAAAGAGCCUGCAUGGUUGGGUCCCUGCUACCCUCCCAGGUCUCUCUCCUGCCACUUGCUGUCCCAGCCACUCAACAGAACUUGCAUGCACAAUAUCCUUUGCCUCUGGGCUCAGGUGCACAGUCUCCUCUCUGCCUGGCAUCCCCCCUGGAGCCUCUUCACCUGGCUAAGUCCUUCUUCCAGACCUAAAGUUGCUUCUCCCAGGAAGCUCUCUAGCCCCUCAUCCCCAGCCCGCCACUCCCACAGGAUCUGCUGUAACACCUGCUACUUCCGCUAUCAGAGACCUCGUCUCCCCACACUGAUGGUUUUGUCCAACCCCCACCCUCACCAAAGUAGGCAGUAAUGACCAUGUUUGUUUGUUUGUGUUGCCAAAUCCCAAAACCAUCCUUGGCAUAUGAUACGCCCUUAAAAUAUUGGUCAAAGGAAUGUUCAUGAAAUAGCAUUCAGAGACAAAAUACCAAGGAAAAAACGAUAUGCAGAAUAAGUUAUUUUGGGGA